GAAGUACUCCCUCCGUCCCAAAGUUUUGUCUUAAAUUUGUCUAGAUACGGAUGUAUCUAAUACUAAAAUGUGAUUAGAUACAUCCGUAUCUAGACAAAUUUAAGACAAAUUUUUUGGGACGGAGGGAGUAUAAU
Triticum aestivum (bread wheat) is the source of this 134-nucleotide non-coding RNA. The record is from Rfam. NCBI's taxonomy places the organism in Eukaryota, Viridiplantae, Streptophyta, Magnoliopsida, Poales, Poaceae.